Molecule: ribosomal RNA, 468 nt
Filed under: uncultured bacterium
Lineage: Bacteria
Description: partial 16S ribosomal RNA
Rfam family: Bacterial small subunit ribosomal RNA
Source: RNAcentral
GACGAACGCUGGCGGCGUGCUUAACACAUGCAAGUCGAACGGAAAGGCCCUGCUUUUGUGGGGUGCUCGAGUGGCGAACGGGUGAGUAACACGUGAGUAACCUGCCCUUGACUUUGGGAUAACUUCAGGAAACUGGGGCUAAUACCGGAUAGGAGCUCCUGCUGCAUGGUGGGGGUUGGAAAGUUUCGGCGGUUGGGGAUGGACUCGCGGCUUAUCAGCUUGUUGGUGGGGUAGUGGCUUACCAAGGCUUUGACGGGUAGCCGGCCUGAGAGGGUGACCGGCCACAUUGGGACAGAGAUACGGCCCAGACGGCGACGGGAGGAGGCAGGGGGGAAUAUUGCACAAUGGGCGGAAGCCUGAUGCAGCAACGCCGCGUGCGGGAUGACGGCCUUCGGGUUGUCGACCGCUUUCGCCUGUGACGAAGCGUGAGUGACGGUAAUGGGUAGAGAAGCACCGGCUAACUACGUG